UUUCCGUAGGUGAACCUGCGGAAGGAUCAUUAAAAAAAGAGAAACGUCCCGUUCUUUUUCAUAAGAAUGGGUCCUAUUCCCUUAAACCGUGUCUGCAUACCUUUGUUGCUUUGGCAGGCCGCCUUCGGGCGUCGGCUCCGGCUGAUAGUGCCUGCCAGAGGACCCAAACUCUAUGUUUAGUGAUGUCUGAGUACUAUAUAAUAUUUAAAACUUCCAACAACGGAUCUCUUGGUUCUG
This 237-nucleotide unclassified non-coding RNA is filed under the name plant metagenome. RNAcentral describes it as "partial contains small subunit ribosomal RNA, internal transcribed spacer 1, and 5.8S ribosomal RNA". The record is from RNAcentral.